AGCCGACUCACCAACUACAAGAUCAGGUCUUAUGAUCCAUAAGAAAUUAUGUUCACUGUUUGCUAGUCCCCAUGCGAAUUCGACGAGUUGGUGAGAUUUGAUCCAAGAGAUUGCGACUCACUUAAAGGUAUCUGAUUGAGGAGUAAAUGAAGAGGACCGACGGUGUAAACAGGUGGUAGUGGUAACUCAGACUUGAGUGCAUCCAAAACCUCCAUCUCCAGGGCAUCAAAUGUAUUGAAUAUCAAGGCUGUAGCAUCAUAAGUUCUUCAAGUUUCUAGUAUAAAAAAAUUGAGCAUGGCAUCAUUAGGAUUGGUAGUCCGAACAAAACUAGGGUUGGGAUAUCUUGGCUGGCAUUUGGAUUGCUUGGUGGUGGAAGACCGUCAGGGAUUGUUUCGAAAUGAAAAUCAGCUAAGCCUUUAACCGAAUCUGGCCCUCUUGCAUUUAGUAAACGUUGAUGAUUGAAUUCUGUGUUUACGAAGGUUAUAUGAAAGCCUCUGAAAUGAAGAAUCUUAGCUAGCUUCAUCAUAGAGCUUAUGUGGCUCUGAAUUGGGAUCUCAAUGGUGAGUAAUUGGAGUACAAGUAGAAUAAACUGCCAACAUAAUGGAGAAAUGGUCCAUGAAUUCGACUGCUGGUUUGUCUUAUACAAAUUUGAUCCAAGAGAUAGCGACUCACUUAAAGGAAACUGAUUGAGGAGUAAAUGAAGAUGACCAACAGUGUAAAUAGGCGGCAGUGGCAACUCAGUCUUGACUGCAUCCAAAACCUGCAUCUCUAGAGCAUCAAAGGGAUUGGAUAUCUUGGCUGGCAUUUUGAUUGUUUGGUGGUGGAAGGCCGUCGGGGAUUGUUUCGAAACGAAAAUCAGAUUUGAUCCAAGAGAUUGCGACUCACAUAUAGGAAACUGAUUGAGGAGUAAAUGAAGAGGACCAACUGUGUAAACAGGCGGCAGUGGCAACUGAGACUUGACUGCAUCCAAAACCUCCAUCUCCAGGGCAUCAAAGGGUUGGGACAUCUUGGCUGGCAUUUGGAUUGCUUGGUGGUGGAAGACCGUCAUGUAUUGUUUCGAGAAAUCAGCUAAGCCUUUAAGAGAAUCUUUCCCUCUUGCAUCUAGUAACUAAUGAUGAUUGAAUUCUGUGUUUACGAAAGUCAUCUGAAAGCCUCUGAAAUGGAGAAUCUUUGCUAGCUUCAUCAUGGAGAUUAUGUGGCUCUGAAAUGGUAAGACUAGAAAGCAUCAUUCCCCGAGUACUUGCUUACUGUAACUGGAUUGCAUAGCGUACAUUCCAUUUCAGACUUCUGGCUCAUUCUUUUUACUAGUUUCUUCCUGAUUUUUUCUCAACCACAACAGAAUAUAUUUAGUGCAGAGAAUGAAACACAAGCUACAAAUAAUCUUACACCUAGCAAACACAACAAGUUAAAAGUAAAAGGAAAAGAGGAAACAGCAAAAUUACUCUUAACAGCAUAUUGUCAAGCCCAAUAACACACACAUAGCAGUAUGUUUGAUAUUUCAACUUUUACUACAUUCUAUGUAUGUAUAGU
Papaver somniferum (opium poppy) is the source of this 1530-nucleotide long non-coding RNA. RefSeq lists it as uncharacterized. The transcript has 8 exons. Lineage: Eukaryota; Viridiplantae; Streptophyta; Magnoliopsida; Ranunculales; Papaveraceae. The record is from RefSeq and is a predicted model, not a curated record.